GAUGAACGCUAGCGACAGGCUUAACACAUGCAAGUCGAGGGGCAGCGGGGUGUGGCAACACACUGCCGGCGACCGGCGCACGGGUGAGUAACGCGUAUGCAACUUGCCUAUCAGAGGGGGAUAACCCGGCGAAAGUCGGACUAAUACCGCAUAAAACAGGGGUUCCGCAUGGGGAUAUUUGUUAAAGAUUCAUCGCUGAUAGAUAGGCAUGCGUUCCAUUAGGCAGUUGGCGGGGUAACGGCCCACCAAACCGACGAUGGAUAGGGGUUCUGAGAGGAAGGUCCCCCACAUUGGUACUGAGACACGGACCAAACGCCUACGGGAGGCAGCAGUGAGGAAUAUUGGUCAAUGGCCGGGAGGCUGAACCAGCCAAGUCGCGUGAAGGAUGAAGGUUCUAUGGAUUGUAAACUUCUUUUGUGCGGGAAUAAAGUCGGGGAUGCGUCCCCGUUUGCAUGUACCGUACGAAUAAGCAUCGGCUAACUCCGUGCCAGCCGCCGCAGUAA
RNAcentral lists this ribosomal RNA (503 nucleotides) under uncultured bacterium. RNAcentral's name for it is "partial 16S ribosomal RNA". It matches the Rfam family "Bacterial small subunit ribosomal RNA", at positions 28 to 523 of the family's 1533-position model. The record is from RNAcentral.